GCCACAUUAGCUCAGUUGGUCAGAGCAGCCUAACAUGGUGGUUGGUCGUAGGUUCGAGUCCUGCAUGUGGCUCA
RNAcentral lists this transfer RNA (74 nucleotides) under Caudoviricetes sp. RNAcentral's name for it is "tRNA-Val". It matches the Rfam family "tRNA". From Rfam's summary of the family: Transfer RNA (tRNA) molecules are approximately 80 nucleotides in length. Their secondary structure includes four short double-helical elements and three loops (D, anti-codon, and T loops). Further hydrogen bonds mediate the characteristic L-shaped molecular structure. tRNAs have two regions of fundamental functional importance: the anti-codon, which is responsible for specific mRNA codon recognition, and the 3' end, to which the tRNAs corresponding amino acid is attached (by aminoacyl-tRNA synthetases). tRNAs cope with the degeneracy of the genetic code in two manners: having more than one tRNA (with a specific anti-codon) for a particular amino acid; and 'wobble' base-pairing, i.e. permitting non-standard base-pairing at the 3rd anti-codon position. The record is from RNAcentral. Lineage: Duplodnaviria; Heunggongvirae; Uroviricota; Caudoviricetes.